This 253-nucleotide ribosomal RNA is filed under the name uncultured bacterium. RNAcentral describes it as "partial 16S ribosomal RNA". It matches the Rfam family "Bacterial small subunit ribosomal RNA", at positions 524 to 776 of the family's 1533-position model. The record is from RNAcentral.
UACGUAGGAUGCAAGCGUUGUCCGGAUUUAUUGGGUUUAAAGGGUGCGUAGGCGGCAUAUUAAGUUAGGGGUGAAAAGGUUCGGCUUAACCAGGUACCCGCCAUUGAUACUGAUAGGCUUGAGUGCGACAGAGGGUGUCGGAAUGUGUGGUGUAGCGGUGAAAUGCUUAGAUAUCACGCAGAACACCAAUUGCGAAGGCAGAUGCCUAUGUCGUAACUGACGCUGAGGCACGAAAGCGUGGGGAGCAAACAGG